AUUAGCCCAAAAUCACAGAACCAGUGAUUGGAUGUGAGAAACUCAACCAAAAAGUGGGAUUCUCCGGUGAAAGGGAUUGUUCAGCGGCGGAGACUGCAAGAACGAGGGAAGGGUGAGGAGUACAGGACGGGAAAACAGCUUGUAACUCACAGAAAGCUUCGUGAAAAGGAGAAGCUUCGAAUGGGGUCGCCGGCAGAUCAGAGAAAAGGGGAAGAAGAGAUUGUGGAAGUUUUGAAUUGUAGAGAUUGGAGAA
This 253-nucleotide unclassified non-coding RNA is filed under the name Hevea brasiliensis (rubber tree). Lineage: Eukaryota; Viridiplantae; Streptophyta; Magnoliopsida; Malpighiales; Euphorbiaceae. The record is from RNAcentral.